AGCGGCGGAUGGGUGAGUAACACGUGGGGAACCUGCCCCUAAGUCUGGGAUACCAUUUGGAAACAGGUGCUAAUACCGGAUAAUAAAGCAGAUCGCAUGAUCAGCUUUUGAAAGGCGGCGUAAGCUGUCGCUAAGGGAUGGCCCCGCGGUGCAUUAGCUAGUUGGUAAGGUAACGGCUUACCAAGGCGACGAUGCAUAGCCGAGUUGAGAGACUGAUCGGCCACAUUGGGACUGAGACACGGCCCAAACUCCUACGGGAGGCAGCAGUAGGGAAUCUUCCACAAUGGACGCAAGUCUGAUGGAGCAACGCCGCGUGAGUGAAGAAGGUUUUCGGAUCGUAAAGCUCUGUUGUUGGUGAAGAAGGAUAGAGGUAGUAACUGGCCUUUAUUUGACGGUAAUCAACCAGAAAGUCACGGCUAACUACGUGCCAGCAGCCGCGGUAAUACGUAGGUGGCAAGCGUAGUCCGGAUUUAUUGGGCGUAAAGCGAGCGCAGGCGGAAAAAUAAGUCUAAUGUGAAAGCCCUCGGCUUAACCGAGGAACUGCAUCGGAAACUGUUUUUCUUGAGUGCAGAAGAGGAGAGUGGAACUCCAUGUGUAGCGGUGGAAUGCGUAGAUAUAUGGAAGAACACCAGUGGCGAAGGCGGCUCUCUGGUCUGCAACUGACGCUGAGGCUCGAAAGCAUGGGUAGCGAACAGGAUUAGAUACCCUGGUAGUCCAUGCCGUAAACGAUGAGUGCUAAGUGU
RNAcentral lists this ribosomal RNA (743 nucleotides) under uncultured bacterium. RNAcentral describes it as "bacterial SSU rRNA". It matches the Rfam family "Bacterial small subunit ribosomal RNA", at positions 94 to 823 of the family's 1533-position model. The record is from RNAcentral.